GAGUUUGAUCCUGGCUCAGGAUGAACGCUGGUGGCGUGCCUAACACAUGCAAGUCGAGCGCGGUUGUGCUUAGUAUUGAGUGUUUUAUUGAUAUAAAACAUUGAAUUCUAUGCACAACUGAGCGGCGGACGGGUGAGUAACGCGUGGGUAACCUGCCCUAUACACAUGGAUAACAUACUGAAAAGUUUACUAAUACAUGAUAAAAUAGUUUUUCGGCAUCGAAGAAUUAUCAAAGUGUUAGCGGUAUAGGAUGGACCCGCGUCUGAUUAGCUAGUUGGUGAGAUAACUGCCCACCAAGGCGACGAUCAGUAGCCGACCUGAGAGGGUGAUCGGCCACAUUGGAACUGAGACACGGUCCAAACUCCUACGGGAGGCAGCAGUGGGGAAUAUUGCACAAUGGGCGCAAGCCUGAUGCAGCAACGCCGCGUGAACGAUGAAGGUCUUCGGAUCGUAAAGUUCUGUUGCAGGGGAAGA
RNAcentral lists this ribosomal RNA (474 nucleotides) under Peptostreptococcus sp. canine oral taxon 033. Its description in RNAcentral is "bacterial SSU rRNA". It matches the Rfam family "Bacterial small subunit ribosomal RNA", at positions 9 to 448 of the family's 1533-position model. The record is from RNAcentral. Lineage: Bacteria; Bacillati; Bacillota; Clostridia; Peptostreptococcales; Peptostreptococcaceae.